This 468-nucleotide ribosomal RNA is filed under the name uncultured bacterium. Its description in RNAcentral is "partial 16S ribosomal RNA". It matches the Rfam family "Bacterial small subunit ribosomal RNA", at positions 28 to 507 of the family's 1533-position model. The record is from RNAcentral.
GACGAACGCUGGCGGCGUGCUUAACACAUGCAAGUCGAACGGAAAGGCCCUGCUUUUGUGGGGUGCUCGAGUGGCGAACGGGUGAGUAACACGUGAGUAACCUGCCCUUGACUUUGGGAUAACUUCAGGAAACUGGGGCUAAUACCGGAUAGGAGCUCCUGCUGCAUGGUGGGGGUUGGAAAGAUUCGGCGGUUGGGGAUGGACUCGCGGCUUAUCAGCUUGUUGGUGGGGUAGUGGCUGACCAAGGCUUUGACGGGUAGCCGGCCUGAGAGGGUGACCGGCCACAUUGGGACUGAGAUACGGCCCAGACUCCUACGGGAGGCAGCAGGGGGGAAUAUUGCACAAUGGGCGGAAGCCUGAUGCAGCAACGCCGCGUGCGGGAUGACGGCCUUCGGGUUGUAAACCGCUUUCGCCUGUGACGAAGCGUGAGUGACGGUAAUGGGUAAAGAAGCGCCGGCUAACUACGUG